Molecule: ribosomal RNA, 1369 nt
Filed under: Contracaecum osculatum
Lineage: Eukaryota; Metazoa; Nematoda; Chromadorea; Rhabditida; Anisakidae
Description: eukaryotic LSU rRNA
Rfam family: Eukaryotic small subunit ribosomal RNA (bases 1-441)
Source: RNAcentral
ACGAGUCCGAAAGACUUCUUAGAGGGACAAGCGGUGUUCAGCCGCAUGAAGUUGAGCAAUAACAGGUCUGUGAUGCCCUUAGAUGUCCAGGGCUGCACGCGCGCUACACUGGAGGAAUCAGCGUGCUGUAACCAUUGCCGAAAGGUAUUGGUAACCCCUUGAAAAUCCUCCGUGAUCGGGAUCGGGAAUUGCAAUUAUUUCCCUUGAACGAGGAAUUCCUAGUAAGUGUGAGUCAUCAGCUCACGUUGAUUACGUCCCUGCCCUUUGUACACACCGCCCGUCGCUGCCCGGGACUGAGCCGUUUCGAGAAAAGCGGGGACUGCUGUUUCGAGACCUUUCCAGGUGGAGAUUCUUUGGUGGGAACCGCCUUAAUCGCAGUGGCUUGAACCGGGCAAAAGUCGUAACAAGGUUUCCGUAGGUGAACCUGCGGAAGGAUCAUUAUCGAGCUAAACCAAAAAGUCUCCUUACGUGCAUAAAUUCCAUUUGUGCGUAAUCGUGAGCCAUGCAUCAAGCCAUACACAUGUGGUGGCAGCCGUCCGCUGUUUUGUGGCGGACAAUGGCUUUGGCUUGAUGUGUGAUGAGGGGAAGUGAGUGACCUGAUAUGCUUGACAGGCAGGUCGAUUGCGCUCAUUUUCUCGUUAUUUGUAACAACGGUAUCCAUUUGGCGUCUACGCCGUACCUAGCUAUCGCCUGGACCGUCGAUAGCAAUGAAAGGUGCGGAGAAAGUUCCUUAUUUUGAGUUGAGCAGACUUAAUGAGCCCUGCAAGAGGGCCGCCAAAACCAAAACACAACCAUUUCUUUAUUUUUUAUAGUUGAUCGGUAAAUCGAGGUGUUCGUUAUCUGACAACAUGUGGUUGUCGAUGCGGAUGUCUUGGUGAAUCGUUAACUACAAAUCUUGGCGGUGGAUCACUCGGUUCGUGGAUCGAUGAAGAACGCAGCCAGCUGCGAUAAAUAGUGCGAAUUGCAGACACAUUGAGCACUAAAAUUUCGAACGCACAUUGCGCCAUCGGGUUCAUUCCCGCUGGCACGUCUGGCUGAGGGUCGAAAUGUUCGACACCAUCCGUACAAUACUUCUUGUGAAGGGGGAAUUGUGUGGUGCAUUCGGCAAGCAGUACUUCUUGGGCAUCGCUCUUGAAAGUACUCCUUGCCUAGACGAAAUAAUUGCUAAAUUUUACUCGGUAAGGUGCAAUUAUGGCCGUGAAUAUGUUGCUUCUCGAUGCGGCUACCAGUAUUUGUUGAUUGUCGAUGGCGACUGGAAGUAUCGUAUCGGAUGCCUAAUAGAGUGACAUGUCUUGGUUAUUAUGUGUUUUUGACCUCAGCUCAGUCGUGAUUACCCGCUGAAUUUAAGCAUAUAAUUAAGCGGAGGAAA